AAAUUACUGUGUUGCAUUAUCAAGCACUAGGAAGAGUACAUCUUUGUGAUGUAAAAAAAAAAUACGUAGUCAAAAUUUUAUUUGAAGGUCCUUUCUUUCCAGGUUUGAGGGAAAACAGGCAACAAAACCAAUUGCUGGUCCCAGAAAAGCAGGAGGUAUUUGCACAUAUGUGUUUUAAUAGAUUAUGUUGGUUGAAUUGGGUUCUGAAAUUAACAAUGGGAUUUUGAAGCAGGGAAUGAAUUUUUAUGAAAUCCUGUUUAUCAUUUUAAGGUAAUUAGGGAGAUUAUUAGUAGCAUAUAUAUUUACAAGUAUUGUCUUCAUGGCUUUGAUGAUAGUUAUCUGUGGGCCAGUAAAAUUGCACUAGAGGGCUGAGCCAAAGGCCACUGCAGCCAGUUGAAGUUUUUCAUUGAUUUAGUAAACUCUAAAACAUACUUAGCAAGAGCUUCCUUUGCUUUCUCACUCUGUUUCUGGAGAAGAUGACCUUUACCUACUCUGUGGUAGAGCUCCAGAAAUGUUAUGCAAUCUAUUGCAAUAUUUUUGUUACUGCUCAGUCUUUCCUUCUCUCUUUAAAGAGCCCUUGCCCAAACUGACUAUUCUUUAGUGUGCACAUUGAGGGAUCAUAGAUAAGGGAACAUAAUUAAAGAGGGUUUUGAAAUUUGUGUAGGAAAACACCUGUGUGCUCAUUCAGAGUCCUACAGCCCCAUCAGCAGGAUGUAGAGCAUGUUUGGGUCGUAGACCAUGACUAGGUGUUAUCCUCAUCAGGAUAAUAAAUAAUACACUUUCCUGUCACUUCACUCUGCCUAGUUCUUUCCCCAUUACCCAAGACAAGCUGUUGUGUGAGAAUUUUGCCUGGUUGUAGACUGCUCAUGAAUCUUGCAGUACAUGACAUGCAGACAUCUAACAAACAUGACUAGAAACUGCAUAAAAUACACAGACAUAACACGAAAGUCAUAUGUUUGAAAACACGUUAGAGCUUCUCAAAUAACCUGAUAUCUAAAAGGUUUUUUUCCUCCUGUUUAUCCAUAACCAGGAGUAUUCUGCUAGAUGCAUUUCAACCGGAUCAGGGUUAUUUUAGAUUUUAUAAUGAUUCUUGCUUGUGUAAACUCACACAAUCUGCCUGCAGAUUCAACUUCAAUGAUAAAAUGUCUCAUCAAAAAAUUGAGGCGGGCUAGAAUGUUUGGUUAAGAUUUAAUAUCUUUCUAACUAAUUAUAACACAGUGUCAAUAUAUGUUCUAAUAUCUGUGGAAAGGAAAGGAACAUAAAUGAUAUAGUUCCACUGUAGCAGGUCUUUUGUAAACAGUUAACGGUUAGGUGGAUGUCUGAGGCAAGGGCGAGAGUAUUGAUAAACCUGUUCCAAAGGGCUUGAGAAGUUGAAGUGAAUUCUAAAUGUAGAUUAGGAGCAAAUGAUGACAGCCAAGCCAGCAUUACCUCAGUUGAUUAAUUUAUAAGGAUACUGGUCAAUGAUUUUAACCAACAGCUAUGCAUAGUAGAAUUCUAAUGGGAUCUGUCUGUUAAGAUUACAUAAAGUAGAGCAUUUGAUUUAUUUCAUAGCUUUCCAACGCUCCACUUUAACUUCAUACAAAUAAUGCAUUAGUCACACUGGAUAAAAUGGCGUAUUGAAUAAAGUUGUGAUUUUGUCUGCCUCUUAUAAUCUGAUUUUUUAUAAAAGAUUAAAUCUGUUUUAGUAGUUUAUUCAUAUCAUAAAAGAGAUUGUCGCUUGAAUGAAAUCUUUACAUCUGCCACUUUCUAUCUCAUUAGAAAAGACAGUAACAUAAAGUUCCUCAUUUCCUCCCAGUCUGUUUUAUCCCCUGGUGUGUCUGAGUCUGUAUAUCUUCUGUACAUGUUUGUAUAUUAUAAUGUCAGUGUGUUUUCGAAGUUGUGGUUAAGACUGCGUCACAGCUUGGAGGGGUGGUAAUGCGAGGGGUUAUAAAUGUUCUGCAAAGAAAAUACCCACCCAGGAACAGAUGGGGCAUGCAGUAAGGGAUGACUGUCAAAAAUCUGAAAAUGAUGGGUUUUAGUGGCAUGGCCAUGUGUGUAUGCGUUGCCAGAUUCAGCAAGGUAUUUAAGUACAUGCAGUACUUCACUGUGAGUGUGCCGACGUCAGUGGACACAAGU
Strigops habroptila (Kakapo) is the source of this 2115-nucleotide long non-coding RNA. The record is from Ensembl. NCBI's taxonomy places the organism in Eukaryota, Metazoa, Chordata, Aves, Psittaciformes, Psittacidae.